CCACAUGUCCACAUCCUGUUUCUGGGUUCCUGCACAAAACUUUUCUGUUUUCUGGACUUAAGCAGAAGUUAAACCUGAAUCCUUUGAGCUCGACACACUUUAAGCUUCUCACUCUUUGAAAAUGAUGCAGCUAUGAUAAAAAAAACUGUAAAUUUAACAUUAAACAUAAAGUUUUACGCAAAUAUUUGAGAAAAAUAAUGUGGUAUUUAUGCUGCCUAUAAACAAGAAGGCCAUUGGUUGAGAUUAAUGCGAGUUAGUUUAUUAACAAAUAGUUUUACAAUUUUAAAGAUUUCCAUUCCUUUCAGUUUGACAUUUUACACAAAGUUAACAAAAUAAAAGGUUUGAAAAGUCAACAUAUCCUGAAUGAGAUGAAUAAGUUGGGAUUAAAAUGGAAAGUUUUAGCAGGGAUAACUCAGUUUGUGUUGAAUUUUAAGGUUUUAGUUCAUUUUAAUGUGGUUGUUUUUUUCCUCUAAAUAUUGGUGAAAAGGUUUAAUCAGCUUUAGAG
Poecilia latipinna (sailfin molly) is the source of this 505-nucleotide long non-coding RNA. RefSeq lists it as uncharacterized. The transcript is spliced from 2 exons. NCBI's taxonomy places the organism in Eukaryota, Metazoa, Chordata, Actinopteri, Cyprinodontiformes, Poeciliidae. The record is from RefSeq and is a predicted model, not a curated record.